GUUUGCUUUUUCAGGCAGAAAAAGAAGCUAAAGAGGCAAAAAAGACUAAAGAUGAACUGGGCCUUGGUGGAGAAAAUGACUUGCAAGCGCUGAUUCAACGCCGAAGCAAGGAUCGAGAAAGGGAAAUGGAUGACUUCUUUGCCCACCUGGAAGCAAAAUAUGGGAAUAAUGCCAAGAAAGGAGGAAAGAAAACUGCAGCCAAGAAGAGGAAGACAUAAGGAACGAUGUAGGCUGAAGUACCAGGUCUCAUUUUGUAUGGAAACGUGGAUUUGGGAGAACUUGGGAUUGUUUCUGGGCUCCUGUUCUGGGCUGUGUGCACUGACUGGCUGUGACUGGGAGGCAUGACAAGGCAGACAAAGCAUUCCUGUGCUACUGCUUCAAACCCUUUGGGUGCUCUUCAGUUGAGAUCCACGUGUGCUGUUCACACAGUUCUUCCCUAACGAGCCUCCCCCUCUGUUUUUAAAGGUCUUUGCACAUCAGCUCAACAGGUGUUUUUCAGAUAUUCCAGUAGUUUUAUAUAGUUUGGGAAAUUGCAGAUUUAAUAAACGAGAAGGUUUUUUUGCAGAGUUCUGUGCUGUUGCUUCCCCAGUUCUUUCUGCUUGUUUUCUAAGUAGCUGUUCCAAACAAACUGAUUGUGUUGAUUCUCCUGAUUUCAGUCAAGUAAAUCCUGCACACUUCCAUUUGCAGGAUCAUUUUUCAAAGGCUUAGGAGCCACGAGGUGAGCACUUUGAAAGCCCUCAUUGCUUCAACACCAGCAUUCAGGGAGCUUCCUGGGGGGAAGCCAGAGGUAGAGGGUCACUCUGUUCCCCUUUACUUGCCUGCUCCUAAAAAUUACCCUGAUUCUGAGAGAGUACAGCAUAUCAUUGUGUUGGAUAACACAGGGCUUAAAGGUUACUUUUGUUACAGAGAAUAAAUAAAUAACAGCCCAG
Lepidothrix coronata (blue-crowned manakin) is the source of this 929-nucleotide long non-coding RNA. RefSeq lists it as uncharacterized. The record is from RefSeq and is a predicted model, not a curated record. The transcript has 2 exons. NCBI's taxonomy places the organism in Eukaryota, Metazoa, Chordata, Aves, Passeriformes, Pipridae.